This 468-nucleotide ribosomal RNA is filed under the name uncultured bacterium. RNAcentral's name for it is "partial 16S ribosomal RNA". It matches the Rfam family "Bacterial small subunit ribosomal RNA", at positions 28 to 507 of the family's 1533-position model. The record is from RNAcentral.
GACGAACGCUGGCGGCGUGCUUAACACAUGCAAGUCGAACGGAAAGGCCCUGCUUUUGUGGGGUGCUCGAGUGUCGAACGGGUGAGUAACACGUGAGUAACCUGCCCUUGACUUUGGGAUAACUUCAGGAAACUGGGGCUAAUACCGGAUAGGAGCUCCUGCUGCAUGGUGGGGGUUGGAAAGUUUCGGCGGUUGGGGAUGGACUCGCGGCUUAUCAGCUUGUUGGUGGGGUAGUGGCUUACCAAGGCUUUGACGGGUAGCCGGCGUGAGAGGGUGACCGGCCACAUUGGGACUGAGAUACGGCACAGACUCAUACGGGAGGAAGCAGUGGGGAAUAUUGCACAAUGGGCGGAAGCCAGAUGCAGCAACGCAGCGUGCGGGAUGACGGCCUUCGGGUUGUAAACCGCUUUCGCCUGUGACGAAGCGUGAGUGACGGUAAUGGGUAAAGAAGCACCGGCUAACUCCGUG